ACGCUGGCGGCGUGGCUAAGACAUGCAAGUCGAACGGACGCUCAAUUUAUUGGUCAGUUAGUGGCGAAAGGGUUGGAACGGAUGGGUAACGUACCCCGUGCUUUGGGAAGCGUCAUCCCGACUUCGGUCGGGAUUUCCGAAAGGGGCGGUAAUACCAAAUAAUAUCACUUGUUUAUAGGCAGGUGAUCAAAGAUUUAUCGGCGCAGGAGCGGCCUGCCUCCUAUCAGCUUGUUGGUGAGGUAAUGGCUCACCAAGGCAGCGACGGGUAGCGGGACUGAGAGGUUGGCCCGCAACAUCGGGACUGAGACACUGCCCGGACCUCCACGGAGGGCUGCAGUAACGAAUAUUGUGCAAUGGGCGAAAGCCUGACACAGCGACGUCGCGUGUAGGAGGAAGUCCUUCGGGAUGUAAACUACUGUCAGGGGGAAGAAAGUGCGCUUCGGCGCAUUGAUCUAACCCAAAGGAAGUCACGGCUAACUUCGUGCCAGCAGCCGCGGUAAGACGAAGGUGGCAAGCGUUGUUCGGUAUCACUGGGCUUAAAGCGUGUGUAGGCGGAGAAGUAAGCGUUUCGUGAAAUCCCCCGGCUUAACCGGGGAACUGCGCAAUGAACUGCUUUUCUUGAGGCAAGUAGGGGUGCAUGGAACUCUUGGUGGAGCGGUGGAAUGCGUAGAUAUCAAGAGGAACGCCAGUGGAGAAAUCGGUGCACUGGGCUUGUCCUGACGCUGAGACACGAAAGCGUGGGUAGCGAACGGGAUUAGAUACCCCGUAGUCCCGCCGUAAACGAUGCCUACUAGGUUGUGAAAGCUGACACUGGCACAGCCGAAGCAAAAUUUAUGGCCGCCUGGGGAGUACGUCGCAAGGCUAAAACUACAAAUGAAUCGAACG
RNAcentral lists this ribosomal RNA (885 nucleotides) under uncultured bacterium. Its description in RNAcentral is "bacterial SSU rRNA". It matches the Rfam family "Bacterial small subunit ribosomal RNA", at positions 33 to 916 of the family's 1533-position model. The record is from RNAcentral.